GUCGAGCGGCAGCGCGGGGCAACCUGGCGGCGAGCGGCGAACGGGUGAGUAACAUAUCGGAACGUAUCCUUAAGUGGGGGACAACCUAGCGAAAGUUAGGCUAAUACCGCAUACGCAGGGAACUGGAAAGUGGGGGAUCGCAAGACCUCACGCUUUUGGAGCGGCCGAUAUCAGAUUGGCUUGUUGGUGAGGUAAAGGCUCACCAAGGCUACGAUCUGUAGCUGGUCUGAGAGGAUGAUCAGCCACACUGGGACUGAGACACGGCCCAGACUCCUACGGGAGGCAGCAGUGGGGAAUUUUGGACAAUGGGGGCAACCCUGAUCCAGCCAUUCCGCGUGAGUGAAGAAGGCCUUCGGGUUGUAAAGCUCUUUUGUUCGGGACGAAACGGUUAAGGUUAAUAACCUUGACUAAUGACGGUACCGUAAGAAUAAGCACCGGCUAACUACGUGCCAGCAGCCGCGGUAAUACGUAGGGUGCGAGCGUUAAUCGGAAUUACUGGGCGUAAAGCGUGCGCAGGCGGUUAUAUAAGACAGUUGUGAAAUCCCCGGGCUCAACCUGGGAAUUGCAUCUGUGACUGUAUAGCUAGAGUACGGUAGAGGGGGAUGGAAUUCCGCGUGUAGCAGUGAAAUGCGUAGAUAUGCGGAGGAACACCGAUGGCGAA
RNAcentral lists this ribosomal RNA (661 nucleotides) under uncultured bacterium. RNAcentral describes it as "bacterial SSU rRNA". It matches the Rfam family "Bacterial small subunit ribosomal RNA", at positions 61 to 719 of the family's 1533-position model. The record is from RNAcentral.